AGCGCAACCCUAUCAUUAGUUGCCAUCAGGUCAAGCUGGGGACUCUAAUGAAACUGCCUACGCAAGUAGUGAGGAAGGUGGGGAUGACGUCAAAUCAGCACGGCCCUUACGUCCAGGGCUACACACGUGCUACAAUGGCCGGUACAAAGGGCAGCUACCUGGUGGCAGGAUGCUAAUCUCCAAAGUCGGUCUCAGUUCGGAUCGGAGUCUGCAACCCGACUCCGUGAAGUUGGAUUCGCUAGUAAUCGCGCAUCAGCCAUGGCGCGGUGAAUACGUUCCCGGGCCUU
RNAcentral lists this ribosomal RNA (287 nucleotides) under uncultured Sphingobacteriales bacterium. RNAcentral describes it as "partial 16S ribosomal RNA". It matches the Rfam family "Bacterial small subunit ribosomal RNA", at positions 1095 to 1382 of the family's 1533-position model. The record is from RNAcentral. Lineage: Bacteria; Pseudomonadati; Bacteroidota; Sphingobacteriia; Sphingobacteriales.